GGAUCCAGCAUCUCUGCAGCUAGAUGAAAAGUGUCCCGCAGCUAUAUUAUCAAAACACAUAGUUUUAGUUUUUGAUUCAUCAAAAGUAUAAUAGAACAACAAAAAACGGCAAUAGAAAUGCUCAAAUAUUGCUAAUAGCCAAUCAAUAGCCUCUUUCACAUAAUGUAAUGCGUUGUAGAGUGUGUCAUGGUGAAAAGAAAGCAAUUAUCAUUACCAGCAUUUUUAAGAACACAAACAAAAUACUAAAAAGGCAGGAGUCCAAGAGCACGAGCUGCAGCAGGUGAUUGAUAAAGCAGUUUGGUUCACACGACUAGCAGUGAUAACGCUAACCUGAUUGUGGAAGGUUUUUAGUAGCGCUAACGAGGCUAAAUGUUGUGAACCUGCUCAUGGCUUUGAAAGUGAGAUUGACUGCCGGAAUUGAAUAAAGUUAACAGCCCAUGUACAGUCAUUCAGGCUUUUAGGGUUUACAGUGACUCAAAUAGACAAAAAAACCCAGAAGCACUGAGGCAGUUGUUGGCUACAGUGAACAUCACACCGAUCUCCAGUGGAGCGCGAGCGGGGUUUCUCCAAAAUUAAUCUCAUUUGUAGCUCACAACAUGAAUCCCUUCUCAUCCACACCAUCUCGUCUCUGAUGUUUUUGAACAUUGUGGGUCCACCGCUUACAAAGUUCAAUCCCGAGCUGUUUGUGCAUUCAUGGAUAAUUAAGGGACACAGGGAAGAGGAGGAGGACACUGACAUGACAGUUUUGUGGAAUUUUUUGUCUUGGGUAAGACAAUUUUUUUCCUUGACUCCAACCAAGCAGAAGCCACAACUGAGUCUAUUGAAAGCCAAGAUCAACUGAUUAAACAGGUGGAAUCAGGUGUGGCUGCUGCUUGGUUGGAAUGAAAACCUGCACCCACACCGGACCUUUCCGAAUAAGAUUGGACACCCCUGCGUCUACCAUAUGGAAGGCACACUGCAGAAACCUACAGAGCGCGGUGAGAUCAGUUAUGCUCAUCAUUGGCUGAAAACCCUUCUCUACUGGAUAUUUACCUGAAAUGAGAGCCACAAAGAUCACUGAGGACAGCAAUCACCCAGAACACACACUCGCUUACACAUUGUACAAUUACUUUGUCCACUAACCACCUAUACAUAUUUACAUCUUAUGCAUUUUUCAUAAAUUUUUGCAUAUUUACCUAUGCAUUUUCUUUUGUAUUUGUAUAUUUUGACUUAAAUUUAGGAAAUCUUGUAUGUUAAUCUAUGUACAGUAAUUGUUCAUGGAGCUACCACAAGAACCCCAAUGUGCAGGUUUCCGUGUCAUCUGUGCAAAUGACAAAUAAAGACUUUGACUUUGGAACUAUGACAUAAACACUCUCACUGUGUGUAGUACCACAAACUUCCAGUAGAGACCACCAAAGCGCUGCUUUUAUUCCUUUAAUCACCUCACCCCAGAACAAAAC
Long non-coding RNA from Ictalurus punctatus (channel catfish), 1439 nucleotides. NCBI's taxonomy places the organism in Eukaryota, Metazoa, Chordata, Actinopteri, Siluriformes, Ictaluridae. The record is from Ensembl.